CCUACGGGGGGCUGCAGUGGGGAAUAUUGGACAAUGGGCGAAAGCCUGAUCCAGCCAUGCCGCGUGUGUGAAGAAGGCCUUCGGGUUGUAAAGCACUUUCAGUGGGGAAGAAAGCCUUGGGGCUAAUACCCUCGAGGAAGGACAUCACCCACAGAAGAAGCACCGGCUAACUCCGUGCCAGCAGCCGCGGUAAUACGGAGGGUGCGAGCGUUAAUCGGAAUUACUGGGCGUAAAGCGCGCGUAGGCGGUCUGAUAAGCCGGUUGUGAAAGCCCCGGGCUCAACCUGGGAACGGCAUCCGGAACUGUCAGGCUAGAGUGCAGGAGAGGAAGGUAGAAUUCCCGGUGUAGCGGUGAAAUGCGUAGAGAUCGGGAGGAAUACCAGUGGCGAAGGCGGCCUUCUGGACUGACACUGACGCUGAGGUGCGAAAGCGUGGGUAGCAAACAGGAUUAGAUACCCCAGCAGUC
RNAcentral lists this ribosomal RNA (465 nucleotides) under Vreelandella stevensii. RNAcentral describes it as "partial 16S ribosomal RNA". It matches the Rfam family "Bacterial small subunit ribosomal RNA", at positions 338 to 795 of the family's 1533-position model. The record is from RNAcentral. Lineage: Bacteria; Pseudomonadati; Pseudomonadota; Gammaproteobacteria; Oceanospirillales; Halomonadaceae.